AGAGUUUGAUCCUGGCUCAGAUUGAACGCUGGCGGCAGGCCUAACACAUGCAAGUCGAGCGGAUGAAAGGAGCUUGCUCCUGGAUUCAGCGGCGGACGGGUGAGUAAUGCCUAGGAAUCUGCCUGGUAGUGGGGGACAACGUUUCGAAAGGAACGCUAAUACCGCAUACGUCCUACGGGAGAAAGCAGGGGACCUUCGGGCCUUGCGCUAUCAGAUGAGCCUAGGUCGGAUUAGCUAGUUGGUGAGGUAAUGGCUCACCAAGGCGACGAUCCGUAACUGGUCUGAGAGGAUGAUCAGUCACACUGGAACUGAGACACGGUCCAGACUCCUACGGGAGGCAGCAGUGGGGAAUAUUGGACAAUGGGCGAAAGCCUGAUCCAGCCAUGCCGCGUGUGUGAAGAAGGUCUUCGGAUUGUAAAGCACUUUAAGUUGGGAGGAAGGGUUGUAGAUUAAUACUCUGCAAUUUUGACGUUACCGACAGAAUAAGCACCGGCUAACUCUGUGCCAGCAGCCGCGGUAAU
Molecule: ribosomal RNA, 521 nt
Filed under: uncultured endophytic bacterium
Lineage: Bacteria
Description: bacterial SSU rRNA
Rfam family: Bacterial small subunit ribosomal RNA
Source: RNAcentral